CAGCAGCCACGGUAAUACGUAGGUGGCAAGCGUUGUCCGGAAUUAUUGGGCGUAAAGGGCUCGCAGGCGGUUUCUUAAGUCUGAUGUGAAGGCCCCCGGCUCAACCGGGGAGGGUCAUUGGAAACUGGGAAACUUGAGUGCAGAAGAGGAGAGUGGAAUUCCACGUGUAGCGGUGAAAUGCGUAGAGAUGUGGAGGAACACCAGUGGCGAAGGCGACUCUCUGGUCUGUAACUGACGCUGAGGAGCGAAAGCGUGGGGAGCGAACAGGAUUAGAUACCCGCGUAGUCCCUGUCUCUUAUAU
This 301-nucleotide ribosomal RNA is filed under the name uncultured bacterium. Its description in RNAcentral is "partial 16S ribosomal RNA". It matches the Rfam family "Bacterial small subunit ribosomal RNA", at positions 509 to 809 of the family's 1533-position model. The record is from RNAcentral.